AGAACAACUCGGUCCUUUUCUUCCUCUGCUGCUACAGGCAAUGAGGCUGAGAAAACAAAAAUAAGUGAAUCGUACGCUCCCAACCUCAAAGAUCUCAUUUUUGGAGGGGAUCACCUUAGCUAUGACGAUCUGCUAUCUAGUUUUCCCACUAGAGGUGUCCAGAUUUCUCAGAUAGUACAUCUUUUGGGUCCCUUGAACGCCCCC
RNAcentral lists this unclassified non-coding RNA (204 nucleotides) under Hevea brasiliensis (rubber tree). The record is from RNAcentral. Lineage: Eukaryota; Viridiplantae; Streptophyta; Magnoliopsida; Malpighiales; Euphorbiaceae.